This 328-nucleotide unclassified non-coding RNA is filed under the name Ascomycota sp. RNAcentral describes it as "partial contains small subunit ribosomal RNA, internal transcribed spacer 1, and 5.8S ribosomal RNA". The stretch from base 1 to 47 matches the Rfam family "Eukaryotic small subunit ribosomal RNA", at positions 1785 to 1831 of the family's 1831-position model. Lineage: Eukaryota; Fungi; Ascomycota. The record is from RNAcentral.
AAAGUCGUAACAAGGUUUCCGUAGGUGAACCUGCGGAAGGAUCAUUAACGUAUCCAACGUUAAAACCCCCCUGUGAACCUUCAGUGCUGCUCGCCCGCUCCGUUAGAACGCGGCAAUCCCUGGUAAAUCAUCGCCGAACAGUUUUGAUUCAGUGUCGCUAACAAUGUUCAUGACCUUCGAAAAACACGAUCGCUAGAGGCCGACACGGCCGGCGACCGGGUCAGCGGUCCCUCGCCCCCUAUCACCCCUUUGCAUGAAAACGGGCCUGCGCUUAAUUGUGCGGCCACCAAAACUCGAACAACUGUUAACAAUGGAUAUCUUGGUUCUC